AGGCUCUUGGGAUUGAGGAGCGCCAGUAUCACCUCCAAUCAGAGGUGUAGCCCAUCAGAGAGUUCGGGCUGCUUUAGCGCACCUCACCCCUAGAC
This 95-nucleotide small RNA is filed under the name Homo sapiens (human). RNAcentral describes it as "nc011 non-coding RNA". The record is from RNAcentral. Lineage: Eukaryota; Metazoa; Chordata; Mammalia; Primates; Hominidae.